RNAcentral lists this ribosomal RNA (396 nucleotides) under uncultured bacterium. Its description in RNAcentral is "bacterial SSU rRNA". It matches the Rfam family "Bacterial small subunit ribosomal RNA", at positions 28 to 429 of the family's 1533-position model. The record is from RNAcentral.
AGUGAACGCUGGCGGCAGGCCUAACACAUGCAAGUCGAGCGGUAAGGCCCUUCGGGGUACGACGAGUGGCGAACGGGUGAGUAACACGUGGGUGAUCUGCCCUGCACUUCGGGAUAAGCUUGGGAAACUGGGUCUAAUACCGGAUAGGACCACGGUCUGCAUGGAUUGUGGUGGAAAGCUUUUGCGGUGUGGGAUGGGCCCGCGGCCUAUCAGCUUGUUGGUGGGGUGAUGGCCUACCAAGGCGACGACGGGUAGCCGGCCUGAGAGGGUGUCCGGCCACACUGGGACUGAGAUACGGCCCAGACUCCUACGGGAGGCAGCAGUGGGGAAUAUUGCACAAUGGGCGCAAGCCUGAUGCAGCGACGCCGCGUGGGGGAUGACGGCCUCGGUUGUAAC